CUCACCUCCUUAUGACAAUGUGCUUUGAAGAAAGAUUUGGGCAACCUGAAAGUAGUUUCACUAAUUUGGAACCAGAGGUCUGGCUUUGUCCAUUUAAAAGAGUCUAGUUAUUGAUUGUGAAAUAACUAAAAAGACCUCACCUUGCUGUAUCUGAAAUAUGAGCACCACAAAAGGAAGUACCACAAGUUUGCUUUCCAAGCACAAAACCACACACAAGACUAAGAUGGUCAGCAAUGGAAAAGUGAUUCUCCAUCGUGCGUUAAACAUUUCUUAGUGCAAGCCAGAAAUUUCCCUAUUCGUGAAAUGAUGUAGAAAAUUCUUGAGUUGGAAAGAACAGAAAAUAAGGCUGAGGGUUUUGGACAAUCAGAUUUAGUAAGCAUCUCCAUUGCACACAGACAACCAAACCUCAAAGAGGAAUGAAAUUACCCGUCAAAGAAAGAAAA
Molecule: long non-coding RNA, 443 nt
Organism: Oxyura jamaicensis (ruddy duck)
Lineage: Eukaryota; Metazoa; Chordata; Aves; Anseriformes; Anatidae
Exons: 2
Source: RefSeq, a predicted model, not a curated record